This 468-nucleotide ribosomal RNA is filed under the name uncultured bacterium. RNAcentral's name for it is "partial 16S ribosomal RNA". It matches the Rfam family "Bacterial small subunit ribosomal RNA", at positions 28 to 507 of the family's 1533-position model. The record is from RNAcentral.
GACGAACGCUGGCGGCGUGCUUAACACAUGCAAGUCGAACGGAAAGGCCCUGCUUUUGUGGGGUGCUCGAGUGGCGAACGGGUGAGUAACACGUGAGUAACCUGCCCUUGACUUUGGGAUAACUUCAGGAAACUGGGGCUAAUACCGGAUAGGAGCUCCUGCUGCAUGGUGGGGGUUGGAAAGUUUCGGCGGGUGGGGAUGGACUCGCGGCUUAUCAGCUUGUUGGUGGGGUAGUGGCUUACCAAGGCUUUGACGGGUAGCCGGCCUGAGAGGGUGACCGGCCACAUUGGGACUGAGAUACGGCGCAGACUCCUAAGGGAGGCAGCAGUGGGGAAUAUUGCACAAUGGGAGGAAGCCUGAUGCAGAAACGCCGCGUGCGGGAUGACGGCCUUCGGGGUGUAAACCGCUUUCGCCUGUGACGAAGCGUGAGUGACGGUAAUGGGUAAAGAAGCACCGGCUAACUACGUG